GCUCUGGUGGUGCAGUGGUUAAACAUUUGGCUGCUAACCAAGAGGUCUGCAGUUUGAAUCUACCAGUGCU
This 70-nucleotide transfer RNA is filed under the name Loxodonta africana (African savanna elephant). It matches the Rfam family "tRNA". From Rfam's summary of the family: Transfer RNA (tRNA) molecules are approximately 80 nucleotides in length. Their secondary structure includes four short double-helical elements and three loops (D, anti-codon, and T loops). Further hydrogen bonds mediate the characteristic L-shaped molecular structure. tRNAs have two regions of fundamental functional importance: the anti-codon, which is responsible for specific mRNA codon recognition, and the 3' end, to which the tRNAs corresponding amino acid is attached (by aminoacyl-tRNA synthetases). tRNAs cope with the degeneracy of the genetic code in two manners: having more than one tRNA (with a specific anti-codon) for a particular amino acid; and 'wobble' base-pairing, i.e. permitting non-standard base-pairing at the 3rd anti-codon position. The record is from Rfam by way of RNAcentral. Lineage: Eukaryota; Metazoa; Chordata; Mammalia; Proboscidea; Elephantidae.